This 77-nucleotide small nuclear RNA is filed under the name Trifolium pratense (red clover). RNAcentral describes it as "snRNA U12". Lineage: Eukaryota; Viridiplantae; Streptophyta; Magnoliopsida; Fabales; Fabaceae. The record is from RNAcentral.
AUGCCUUAAACUAAUUAGUAAGGAAAACAAAGUGGGAGCUAAUAUAGUCUUGGUUUGGAAUUUUGAUACUUUAAAGU